RNAcentral lists this ribosomal RNA (393 nucleotides) under uncultured bacterium. RNAcentral's name for it is "partial 16S ribosomal RNA". It matches the Rfam family "Bacterial small subunit ribosomal RNA", at positions 523 to 918 of the family's 1533-position model. The record is from RNAcentral.
AUACGGAGGAUACGAGCGUUAUCCGGAUUUAUUGGGUUUAAAGGGUGCGCAGGCGGACCGUUAAGUCAGGGGUGAAAAGUUGGGGCUCAACUCCAAUCGUGCCUUUGAUACUGGCGGACUAGAGUGCAGGGGACGUGACUGGAAUGUGAUGUGAAGCGGUGAAAUGAUUAGAUAUGUCACAGAACGCCGAUCGUGAAGACAAGACACGAAUCCGCAAAUGACGCGCAUGAUCGAAAGCGUUAGGAGCAACCAGGAUUAGAUACCCUGGUAAUACACGCUGUAAAAAGUGAUCACUCGUUGUUUGCCGGCGACGGUCAGUGUCUAAACGACAGCGAUAAGUGAUCCACCGGGGGAGUACGAUCGCAAGGUUGAAACUCAAAUGAAUUGACGGGG